This 349-nucleotide ribosomal RNA is filed under the name uncultured bacterium. Its description in RNAcentral is "partial 16S ribosomal RNA". It matches the Rfam family "Bacterial small subunit ribosomal RNA", at positions 338 to 703 of the family's 1533-position model. The record is from RNAcentral.
CCUACGGGAGGCUGCAGUAGGGAAUGUUGCGCAAUGGGGGAAACCCUGACGCAGCAACGCCGCGUGAUAGAUGAAGACCUUCGGGGUGUAAAGAGCUGUCAGUGGGGACGAAACCUGACGGUACCCACAGAGGAAGCACCGGCUAACUCCGUGCCAGCAGCCGCGGUAAUACGGGGGGUGCAAGCGUUGUCCGGAAUCAUGGGGCGUAAAGAGUUCGUAGGUGGCACGGUAAGUCUGGUGUUAAAGGCGGAAGCUCACCUUCCGUAGGGCACUGGAUACGGGCGAGCUUGACUGCGGUAGAGGUAACGGGCAUUCCUGUUGUAGCGGUGCAAUGCGUAGAUAUCAGGAG